ACAAUAUAAAAAUAGUUUUCCUUUUUCUCUUUUUCUUCAGCUGCAGCCCUUACAUGAAUUAUUGUCCAGGACAAACCUUGGUAAUUUGGAAACCAAGAAGAGAAACUUGAAAAGGGCUUUAGAUCAGUAUUUAAUGGAAUUCAAUACCUGCCGUUGUGGUCCCUGUAAGAACAACGGUGAACCAAUCCUGCUGGGAGCUACCUGUGUUUGUGAGUGUAAACAAGGCUACCUAGGUCCUGACUGUGGAGAGACAAAGAGGAAAGGUUAUCCAGUUCAAGGUAGCUGGAGUUGCUGGACUCCAUGGGCAGCUUGUCAAGGGGGAUCUAGAAGCCGCACAAGACAGUGUACAAACCCACCUCCUGAAAAUGGUGGAACAACAUGCCCAGGCAGGAAUACGCAAACAGAGACAUGUUAAUAACUAAUAAUGCUAUGAGUGGAUUAAUGGGUUGUGCUACCAGGCAGGAAAAUGUUGGGAGCUUGAUGCAAAUAGAGUCAAAACAAAUGGGCCAUAAAUAUUGACUUACCUUUAGGACAAUGGAAAAUCCCAGUAGCAAUCAUAUAAAGAAAAAGAAAUGUAAAUGUUUUGUACACUUUGUACAUCAGUAUUGUAACUGUAGUAAUUAUUUUUGUUGAAUGCAGAAGUCCGCCAUAAGGAAGAUAUUUUUGCUCUGCACAAAAUUUAAAGCAAGAAAAAAAUCGUUAUAUUGCUAGCCCUGUAAUAUUCUAUUGACUAACAUGUUGGGACUAUUCAGAGAAUUCAUUUUCCUGUGAAUACCUAGUGUAUGAUACAAAAUAGAAUGAACUUCCUUCCCAGAAGGAAGUACAAUCCUUCUGGGAAGGAAUUUACUACCAUGGCAACAAAAAAAUUUUUUUUUUCCUGCUGUUGGACAAAUUUGUUCCCAAAGUAA
Non-coding RNA from Thamnophis sirtalis, 908 nucleotides. The record is from RefSeq and is a predicted model, not a curated record. Lineage: Eukaryota; Metazoa; Chordata; Lepidosauria; Squamata; Natricidae.